This 477-nucleotide ribosomal RNA is filed under the name uncultured bacterium. RNAcentral's name for it is "bacterial SSU rRNA". It matches the Rfam family "Bacterial small subunit ribosomal RNA", at positions 27 to 507 of the family's 1533-position model. The record is from RNAcentral.
UGGACGAACGCUGGCGGCGUGCCUAACACAUGCAAGUCGUACGGAGUUCACUUGGAAGCUUGCUUCCGAGUGAACUUAGUGGCGGACGGGUGAGUAACGCGUGAGCAACCUGCCUCACAGAGGGGGAUAACACACGGAAACGUGUGCUAAUACCGCAUAAUCCGAUGAAGCGGCAUCGCUUUAUCGGCAAAGGAGCAAUCCGCUGUGAGAUGGGCUCGCGUCCGAUUAGAUAGUUGGUGAGGUAACGGCUCACCAAGUCUACGAUCGGUAGCCGGACUGAGAGGUUGGACGGCCACAUUGGGACUGAGACACGGCCCAAACUCCUACGGGAGGCAGCAGUGAGGGAUAUUGCACAAUGGGCGAAAGCCUGAUGCAGCGACGCCGCGUGAGGGAUGACGGUCUUCGGAUUGUAAACCUCUGUCCUUGGUGAAGAAGAAAGUGACGGUAGCCAAGGAGGAAGCCACGGCUAACUACGUG